RNAcentral lists this unclassified non-coding RNA (209 nucleotides) under soil metagenome. RNAcentral's name for it is "partial contains 5.8S ribosomal RNA, internal transcribed spacer 2, and large subunit ribosomal RNA". The record is from RNAcentral.
AACCUAGCACACCUGCGGUGUGUACCUGCGGAAGGAUCAUUACCGAGUUUACAACUCCCAAACCCCUGUGAACAUACCUAUAUGUUGCCUCGGCGGAUCAGCCCGCGCCCCGUAAAACGGGACGGCCCGCCGCAGGAUCCACAAACUCUGUUUUUAUUGUAACUUCUGAGUAACAAAACAAAUAAAUCAAAACUUUCAACAAUGGAUCU